CCCAAAGAAAAAAACAAAUGUUACCCAAUAGGCAAACAAUGCUGAGAGUUCACUUCCUCUAACUCUGUAGUUAAGUUACUCACUCAGUAUAACAUCACCCUCCUGCCAGGGGUUGAAGUCAGGAAGUAGUUUAUUUUCGCUGAAACUGAAGGGGGAAGUUAAAGAGAAAAAUAGCUGCAACUUGGUCAAUUCAGGAAAACCAGGUACGAAAAAAGAGGAGCAAGUUAAAGGGAAAGCCAGCUCGGAUUUGCUCACCAGUAAAAGGCAAAAAUCCCAGUGUUAUUCAUCUGCAUUUGGUGUGAAAGACAAAAGCUCAACUGGGAUCUGAGGCUUUCUGUGUCAGAGGGCAAGGAGUCAAUGGGGUUAUGAGGAAGUAAGACCACUUGAGACAUCAAAGAAAAGUAGAUCAAAUCACUAGACUCCUCCAAACAGGAGUGGGUGAAGACAAAAAGUGGAGAGAAUCCAGAGGGAAGAGAGGAGUAGGGAAAAUGGUGGAAAGGGAAGGUUUUUGAGAUGGAAGGCAGAGAAUGGGAACAAAAGAAGAAAAAGCUGUUUGUUUCAAAUCAAUAUUCUCCAAGAGGAUGUCUUGUUUCCCCAGGGAUAUUCUGAGGGACUCACAGGAUCAGAGCUGCGACACUUCUAACAUAUGAAUUCUCUCAAUUCUGAUGCCCUUUGACCUCUGCCACACAAUGCCAAGACAAACCCAGACCCCAGGCCCUGGAAACAGAGGAGGGGCAGGUUUUCUCAGAGUUAACUUUCUCUAACCUUGAAGCCGAAUCCAGGGGCAGGAGCAGGAGUCAACUCUGAGAAGACGUGAUAGAGCUUCAGCAACAUGGAGAGGAGAUAGCCGGUCUGGCUAGGAUGGAAGAAAUGUACAUGGAGAAGAAAGACAGAAGAACCAUCACUGAGCACUAAACUAAUCAGCCAUAAUGUGUAAGCCACUUUUAUGAAUUUUUUUCCUUCCUUCCUUCCCUCCUUCCUUCCUUUCUUCUUUCCCUCUUUCCUUUCUUCUUUCCUUCUUUGAUACAAAGUCUUGCUCUGUUGCCCAGUCUGGAGUACAAUGGUGUGAUCACAGCUCAUAGCUCACCGUAACCUUGAACUCCUAGGCUCAAGGGAUCAAUCCUCCAGCCUCAGCCUCCCAAGUAGCUAGGACUUAUAGGUACGUGCUACCACACCAGCUAAUUUUUUAUUUUUUGUGUAGACUGGAUCUCGCUAUGUUGCCCAGGCUAGUCUUAAACUCCUGGGCUCAAGCGAUCCUUCUGCUUCAGCCUCCUGAGUUGCUGAGGUUAUAGCUGUGAACCAUUGAGCCUGGCCCCUGAAUUUUCCAUUACUUUCUGUUGAGAGUACCCUCACUGAUAUGACAUUGUAUACAGGUUUGGUAGAAAUAUUUUCGGAGCAAUUUAUGUUAUCUCUGAUCACUUUUUACAGGCAGAUUGACUGGCAAGCCUAUCACCACCUUGAUAACAGAUGACAUUAAAGAGAAAGUAUCAAUGUGAGGAUUAAAUGGGAUGAAAAAUAAAACAUCUGUCGGAGUGCCUGGAAUAUGAGCCUAGUAGAGCACCCAGCACACAGUAGGCUCUUAAUACAUGCUUGGGAUGAUUGAGGCAUUUUCUUCCACCAUAUUCCAUGAUCUUCUAGCCCUGGGGGUGCAGAGAGAUUACCUGGCCAAGAAGACUAGGGGUAAAGUACUUUUCUUACCUGGUAAGUGGUUUGGGAGUUAGGAAAACAUGAUGUCUGGCCAACCCCUUUCCUAAAGGAGUUUAUGUAUCCCAAUGCCCCACCCACCACCCGCCUCCACCACACACCCAGCGUUUGUUGCUUGUAAUGGGUCAAUACAUCAAUGAAUUGAUGAAUUGUAAAGGAAAAAAAAUACAUGCUUGGAAAAUGAAUUUAACUAAACAAGAUUGAAUGUAGCCCAGCUCUUUACUCACAGAGCUUGAAGGCUCAACUCGCCACAACCCCCUGGGGAGAGAGGAAAGACAUGGCAUUAGUUCCAGCGCUGUUAGUGCUAGCUAUUGCAACAUCAGAAGUAUCAAAAUUCAACUGUCUGGUGCCAAUGGCAAAACCAAUGCUUACCAAAUACAUUAUAAUAAUAAAUAUAACUUUAUAGGUCUCACAGAUUUAUUUAUGUCUGCAACUCUAAACCUGCUCCCAGCCCCCAGUCUCCAGAAACCAAGCUAGCUGGCCUUUUGGAGAUGAAAAUAGCAUCAGGCAUCAAGGGUGUGCAUUUAUGAGCAGGACAGGAGGGUGGACUAGCACCUGAACCUUAAUGCAUUCCUUAAAAGUUUUCAAUGGGAGCAUGAGUCAGGGGUGCCACCUGGAGAGAACCGUUCUCAGUAAAAGAAGGACAAUGUUUACCUUCAACUACCCAAUUUUUUGCUUCCAGGAGAUGUAACACACAGAUUGCCUGUAACCAUGGCAAUCAGCUCAGCUGUGAGCACCCUCAUUUAUUCAAAGCACAGAGGCAGUAUAAGAGAGAAAAUACUAUUACAAAUAGGAACAAUAAGAUUUAAUGUCAGAUGCCAAAAUAUGAUUGGUUCAGUAUUUGAUUCCCAGCCAUAUGAAGCACAUUACACUUUCUUGGUUUCAUCUGCUCUUUCCUGAUCCUCAAGGGUAAUAUUAAUUUCAAUUUCUUCCAGAAACAAUGAUUGACUUGUUUCUAGCACUAUCUUGGGAGUGAAAUAAAAAUUUUGGAAAAAUACAUUCUCAGCAAUGCACUGUGUGCAACAGAGUUGAGAUAACCAUGCCAAAAACUAUAAGGAAAUGUCAACAUACACUUAAAAAAAUAACUUUUGAUGGAGUUUUUUUAGGGAGGUAUUCAACUUCUCGUGAAUAAGUAAUAAAGGAUGUAUACUAUAUACUGUAUUUACUGGUUCUUCUCCCUAAUUUCAGUCUCUUUACACUCCUGGAAGAAAAAAAGUAUUAUGGAGGCUACUUUACAAUCUUCUAAAAUAGAGUAACAGAAAACCUGUUCUUGAUUUUCAAGGAAAUUACUUAUAACUCAUCAAGUUACUAAACUUCAGUUAUUGCAAAAUUUAUUAACUGUAUCCUGAGAUUUCCACUGAUAAAACUCAACUAAUGUAUUUCACAGGUACACAAAUAUCCAAGAUUGGAAAGAAGAAAGAAAAUGACGACAGAAUUUUGCAGUCUACAAGGCAAACACUGCCAUUCAUGUAGUUAUGGAGUUCCUACUAUGUGCAGACAAUGGGAAACUUUACGAAGGGACACAGAGGUUCAUGUGAUGUAAUAAGAAAGAAAUAAAGGAAGCUUUAUCUGCCGCUCUUUCAACCUCAUCCACUCAACACUUACCCCGUGACAGACCCCAAUACUCUUAAUGAAUUCCCAAGGUUACGAAAGAACUUGGAAGAUCUUACAUUCCUACAUGGUGAUUACAGAGGCUCACAUUUUGCCAAGUCAUAUGCAGGUGGCUGAAAAGUAAGUUUACUUUAUCUGCAUUUCAUAUUACACUUGUUCUUUCUUAUGAAUGUUUCUUUCAUAGUCAUGCAAAGUACUCAAUCAGUAAUUCCCCACCAAAAUGGUUGUUACAUAAGCGGCCGUGCAACAAUGCAUAUGUCAGCUCAGAUUCAUGUCAGAGAAAGUUCUCUAGUUUAUAUAACUCACUCCCCAGCAGCCAGUACACAGUUCAAAAAGUGUGGGCCUUUACAUUAUGGCGGGAGGGAGGUUAUUUUGUUUUGUUUGUUUUUUUUUAACACAUCACAUAAAUACACUUCCUUUCUCCUUUGUAACGUAUGGGAUACAUGGAAUUCCUAACUCACACAGAUCUCACUGUAGACCCAAUGAAUGGCACGGAGCCGACACAAACACCCACACACUUGUCUCAGUUACAGAUCUCUGCUAAAGACCAGAAGUUGGCCAUUACUAUGAAUAUACACUUCUGUUGGAUUUCUAUGGUAUUUGGUUUCAUUAGAUUGUAUGUUAAGUUAAAUAUGUUUUUUAAAGUUUCAUUCUCCUACCUCAAGUUACGGUGCAUCAAGGGGUCUCAGAGAGAAGUGGAGCUGCCACCUCAAUGUCCCGACCCCAGAGAGGAGCCUCUCAAGCCACCCCAAGGCAGCUGAGCCCCAGCUCGCACCAGAUCACUGUGGAGCAGAACCAAUUUUUAAAUGUCUUCAUCUGGUCCCUCCUACUUUUAUGGUGCUCUGGGGGUGGUGAGAAUCGGGAUGCACUGAAAGCUGCUGGGACAUCUGACUCUUUAUUUUCUUGGCUCUACGUGUCUUAACUCUGCACCAAUCCUCCCGACUGUGCAGAAUUUCACUUUGGAGAGCAGAGGCAAACGGAGAUUCACACAGAGGGGCAGGAGCCGUCAAUGCUGUCUAGUGAGAGGAGAGAAGAGGCAUUGUAAGUCCCCAUAGCACUGCUGUUGGGCUACCCUGCCAGUCAAUGCCACUUUUCCCACAGGCUCCAGCCUCAACUUCCCCUGGUGCAAUAUGAUGAUGGGAAGAAGGGCUCCUAAGAGGAAACUGAUUUAAGUAUCUCUGUUUUUCAGAAAACACUUCCAAUUGCUCUCUCAAGAAUGCGUUUCUAUUUCAUGAGUUGAUGUCAUAUUUUUAGGGGGAGGGAUGUAUGGAGAGAGAAAACUUUCAAAUAUCUGGAAAUCAGUGGUAUGAUGAGCCCUGUUCUCUGCUGCUCCAAGUACAAUACCAAAGCAUGUGGUGGAAGUGAUGGGACAGAUUUGGUUCCAUAUUAGAACUUCCUACUUGUAUGUUGAAUUUUAACGGAUGGCUGGGAGUAACAUCCACUUUACGGAGGUAUAUAAGCAAGCUCCAGACAGUAACUUGGUAUGGAGACUAUGCCAAGGAUCCCAUUGUCAGAAGGGAAGUAUGGUGUUGGGGAAGGAUAUUUCUCCCUCCCCUCCCCAUAGUGCCAUCCUCUGCUUAUAGAGGAGGAAAUAGCUACCCAAGCUUUAGCCCCUCCCGCUGCCCUAUGGAAGGAAUACAUUCCACUCUGAACUAAAGCUGGCAUCUUUGGUGCCACAUUUUAACAGAGGGUCGAGUUACUGUAUCUUGAGAAAGACAUGGGUACGUCAUGCUUCCUUCCACUAUCUGUACCCACUCAAAGUGAAUCGUUCCCCACUGUUCUCUUUAAAUUUUUGCUUCAUGUAGCAGAGAUUCAGGGUCUCGCUCCCCUUCUCCUCCUGACACAAAAGGCAGUCAGACUGAACAGUGGGAUAAGCCCUGAAGAUGGCUGGGAACAGCCACCGGUGGAAAGGGAACCCUUCUUUGCUGCCUUUCUCAUUGCCCCAGCACUGCUAAGUGCAGCAGAUUGGCCUUUUUCACAUUGCAGGGAUGAGAUCCUCAGGAUUUGAGAGGGUUCAUCUGGCUUCCAGGAUUAAACUGUGUUUUCAAAUCGAUCUUUUGACAAAGCCCAACAAUAGAGUUAUUUCUGUUUACCCAUGCAUUUCUAUUAACCCAAGGUGGUGCCUCCUUUCCCACUCAGCUAUCAAUCUUUGUAUGUAUAAUCAAACCCCCAAAUAUAUCUCCAACCAAACUUUCACAACUACAGUGGCACACUCACACAGAGUGAUCUAAAUGGAACACGGGUUUUCUAUAACCACAACCAAACCAUAAACGGCAUUUUAUAUACAUUAUCAUCCAGAAAGCAAUCAGAUUUUUUCAUAGCAAAUGGUAAGAUAUAAUAAAAGGAAAUUUGAGAAUUAUCAUAUAACUUAUAAUGUCUCUUUUAGCCCUAAGGUCCUAAGAUUCAGUGACAUGUGGUGUUUUCUCUUUUUCCUACCACUUUUUCAGCUUAAUUAUUAUCUACAGAGAUUAAAAACACAACUAAAAUUUCUGCAGAUUCACAGUGCUAUUUCAGAAUAGAUUUUACCCCUUAGUACCUUCUAUUUAAUCAAUUAAUGAGAAUACUUUGGAGCCCACUGCAGAAACUAUAAAUUCCAAAUGGUUCCUCAGAACAUGUCAUCAUCAAACCAGUUAGGCUGGCGUUGGUAAAUACCACAGCCUGCAGUUGCCAUGUGUUACAAAAACAAUAAACAGAUACCCUUCAUACCUCUCCCUUCCCUAAAACAAUUAUUCCUAUAAAAGUCUGUCUCUCCAGAUUUUUUGUUGUGGUGUUUCUGAUACCAGUACAAUCAGAAAGUAAUGAAAGUGUUCACUGAAAGGAAGUUUUCACUGAGCAUUGCAGGCCAAUGAGAAUGCAGAUUAACUCAAAUAAACUUUGGAAUGCCAGCCAAACCCAUGAAACUUGUCAGCAGUUCAUCUACUGAGAGUGGUUAUGCUUUUUCAGUAGUACCUUAUCCUGAAAUAACCUGAUGGAAAAGCCAGUGUCGGAUGACACAUGACAUCAAGUGUUCAAUGCAAAUUCUGCUGGCAUACUAUCCUGUUUGACUCCCUUGCUCUUGAGCCUUCCACAGUUGGUAAUAAGGAACUGAGUACCUUUGCAAUCUCCAGUAAAACAUGUGUGAUGGAAAUGUAAUUCCUUAGGGAAGCAAUUCCCAAUGGCAUACAUAGAUUUGAUUUUUGGGUUGAAAAGUAGUAAAUGACGAAUUGAAGUUUCUUUUUCUCUACUUAAAAACUAUUCUUGACAUUAAUUUUACUUGUAUUUGUUAACCAGUUUACAUUUUAUUUUGUUACUGAGACACUCAAAAGUGUCUAUAUUUUAGUCAAAGCUAAAACUGAAAGACUUUAGCAAAUUGACUUUUCUCUUUCUCCCAACAAACAUUAACUCAGUAUUUUACCUAGCUUUAUUUUCAAAUAUGGAGUUUUAUAGCACCUUGAUUUAUAGCUGGGCGUAAGAAAAGGUUAUGUCAGCAUUUACAUUAUAAGGCCAUGGUUUUGUGGUUUAUAACUAAGCCAUAAAAAUAAUUCUGACUAAAAUUUGGAAUGCCAGUUUCCACCUUGAAACGCAAGUGUGUCCCUAGCUGUAUGACCACACACACACACACACACACACACACACACAUCAGAAUUCAACAACUGCUGUUUUGUAUAAUACAUUUAUUCAAUAUAUUGCUUUGAUUAAAAAUGAACUCAAAGAAAGUCAAGGCUAUGAAGUGAAUUCAAACAAAGCUGUCAUCUAAUGGUAACAACUUAUAUCCUAAGAUAUAUUUUAGUAGAUUUGAAAGUUGAUUUAAUGACAAAAGAAUUUACUGUAUAGUUUUCAUAGUUAAAGAAUAAAGGACAGAAAGAUGAAGUGAGACCUCCACACACAAAAAAAUAGCCUUUUCUUAAUAAGAAAUGUUUGCAACAUUCUUCCACGCUGUAUGGUAGAUAUUCUCUGAAUCUCUUUGCAGAUGUGAUCUAACGUCCUUGAACACAUUUAUUACAAUCCAUCAUCUACAUGGCAACAGUCAGGGCCAUGCUCAUAAACCAGAACUGGUGCUAGAUCUGGUAAGUCAUUAAGCAAACAUAUUCCUGUGUUGUGCGUGGCGUGCAUGCCCACUGCCUGCCUAUAAAACGGAAAUAAGAUUUCUGAUUUGCAAAUUACCUCCUAAGACAUGUAAAGCUAGCUCCUUUAAUCCACAUUACUCAUUUUUGUAUUUUGACUGUUUCAAAUGCUAAAACAGACCUGAAUACAGUUUCCACAGUUCUCUUUAUAAUUAUUGUAUUUUUCAUUUACAUGAUCAUGAAACCUGUUAGCAAGUGAGAAACAGAAUCAUUUUCACUGAGACAAAAAAUAUUGAGAAUUAGGGGGAGAAACUCUGAAGCAAUAUAAACAACAGAGUCUAAUCUUAUCAAAGAGAGAAGGCAGUUGGUGAAUCUGAAAGAUCACUUACUUACCACUCAAUCAUAGAACUUAUACCCCCAAAUAGGAUUUAAGAAAGAAAAAAGCAAUUUAGUAGGAACUGGAAGUUAUAGGGCAUAGGUCUGCUUUAGUUGGUGACAAAAAUUAUGCCUCAGAGGUUAAGAGCAUGGAUUAGGGUGCUGGGUUGCCUGGUUUAAAUCCUAGCUCUGGCACUUACUACUGCAUGGUCCUUGACCAGUUAUUUAACUACUCUGUGCCUCGGCUUCCCAGUGUGGAAAGCAGAAAAACAGUAUCUCCCUUACAGAGAGGCUUUAAAGUUUAAAUGCAUUAACAAAGGGAAAAUCCUUUCAAUGUUGACACAUCAUGAGUGUGACAUAAGUAUUACCUAUUAUUUUUAUUAUGUGACCAAAUGUGGAAGAAAAAUUCUAUAAGAAAGUAGUAACAUUGUUUAGUCUUUCAAAAAUCAUAUAUUCUCCUCCAAUCCUGGCUCUCUGCAAUUCAAGAAAUCCUAACAAAUAGAAAACCUUUGUACACAGGAGAAAACGGAGAUGAGCAAAGGCAAUAUUUGGCUUAUUUGUUAUAACCCUAAUAAAACAAGACUGCUUGAAGAAAUAGACCAAAUUGUGGAAUGUUUAACAUUGAUCCAGGACUGGCUCUUCUGAGGAAAAGAUAUAAUAUUUAUCAUGUGGCCAAUUUUGUCUGUGAAGAUAAGGAGGAACUAAUCGGUCUCAACUUCAUGAUGUUGCUUAAAGGAGCAUAUAAAUGUACGAUCAUAAGUAUCCUUUAAAUGAAGGGGUUGGUUUUAUGACUGCAGAAGUGAGAAAGAGUAAGGUCAUUUAGCCUGAGCAACACAGCAAAACCUUGUCUCUACUAAAAAUUAAACAAAACAACCAAAAAAUCACUCAGGUGUGGUGGCGCAUGCCUGUGGUCCCAACUACUCAGGAGGCUGAGGUGGGAGGAUUGCUUGAGCCUGAGAGGUGGAGGUUGCAGUGAGCCUUGAUUGCGCCACAGCACUCUAGCCUGGGUGACAGAGCAAGACUGUCAAAAAAGGAAAGAAAAGAAAGAAAAGAAAAAGAAAGAAACUAAAACAGAAAGAAAAGAAAGAAAGAAUGGGAGAGAGAGAGGAAGGAAGGAAGGAAGGAGAAAGAAGA
RNAcentral lists this long non-coding RNA (8867 nucleotides) under Homo sapiens (human). Its description in RNAcentral is "long non-coding RNA NONHSAT200545.1". The record is from RNAcentral. Lineage: Eukaryota; Metazoa; Chordata; Mammalia; Primates; Hominidae.